CCCCCGGCUACAUUAGGUUGGCUUGUUCUCCUGCUCCGUUUGGCAGUGCAUGGAGCUGAGACGCGGAUAUAACCUGCCUACGCCAUUCCGUAGCUUCCCAACGAGGCAAAAUACUUAUUCAUCACAGAGUGGGAACGCUACCCCUGGUCUCCCACCUCGCAAAAAAGGCCUUCUGGGAAAGCGGGAUGCCCUGCUACAAAGCGAUGUCAGCCUGCCUGAAAGAUGGAAAGCGACAGAGCACCUACGUUGGACCCAUAUCGCUUUCUCAAUGUGCUCUCUGGGAUGAAGCAUCACACAAUAAAAUAACCCAUCCAUC
Anguilla rostrata (American eel) is the source of this 316-nucleotide long non-coding RNA. RefSeq lists it as uncharacterized. NCBI's taxonomy places the organism in Eukaryota, Metazoa, Chordata, Actinopteri, Anguilliformes, Anguillidae. The transcript has 3 exons. The record is from RefSeq and is a predicted model, not a curated record.